GUGGAUUAGAUACCCUGGUAGUCCACGCCUUAAACGAUGGGCACUAGGUGUCGGGAGUUCUUGCACUCUCGGUGCCGUAGCUAACGCGUUAAGUGCCCCGCCUGGGGAGUACGGUCGCAAGACUAAAACUCAAAGAAAUUGACGGGGGCCCGCACAAGCGGUGGAGGAUGUGGUUCAAUUCGAUGCAACGCGAAAAACCUUACCUGGGCUUGACAUACCGCGCUACCCUAUGAAAGUAGGGGUUCCCUUCGGGGACGCGGAUACAGGUGCUGCACGGUCGUCGACAACU
Molecule: ribosomal RNA, 289 nt
Filed under: uncultured bacterium
Lineage: Bacteria
Description: partial 16S ribosomal RNA
Rfam family: Bacterial small subunit ribosomal RNA
Source: RNAcentral